Molecule: long non-coding RNA, 223 nt
Filed under: Elaeis guineensis (African oil palm)
Lineage: Eukaryota; Viridiplantae; Streptophyta; Magnoliopsida; Arecales; Arecaceae
Description: long non-coding RNA (EGUI_LNC066919)
Source: RNAcentral
GACCGACACCAAAGCCCAUGGCUGAUCCGAUCUUGGCGGUGCCAAGGCCUUUCGACUAGCCGACCCCUGGCAGCACCGGAACCUACCGACAAAGUUGAUCCCAAGCUGCACCAGGCCCAAUCUACCUAUUCACCCCUGCGUGGUGCCAAGGCUUACCUGCUGAAGCUAGCCACCGUUCCCCCAGCUGGUGCUAGAGGAAGGGGCCCUCCUACAGACCCAGCUC